Long non-coding RNA from Drosophila yakuba, 1136 nucleotides. RefSeq lists it as uncharacterized. NCBI's taxonomy places the organism in Eukaryota, Metazoa, Arthropoda, Insecta, Diptera, Drosophilidae. The record is from RefSeq and is a predicted model, not a curated record. The transcript is spliced from 2 exons.
UGAUAAAAGGACAAUGGGAUCUUCUUCAUGUGCGAUAAUUAUGUGGGCGUUUCUAAGUGUGCAACACCAGAGGAAUAAAGACGCCAAGUGACCCACAAGCUAAGCCGGUCGCCUGGUCGCAAAAACUGGCAAAAACUGGCCAAAACGCAGAAGAAAGGGCCAACAAAAUGCAACGCAAAGUGAAAUGUAAGCAGACUUGAGACCUAAAGCGAUGGGACUUAUGCAUACAGAAUGGGGGAAGGCAGGGCAGUCUACCAAACUGACCCCGUUCUGAAUUCUAUGCUAAUGAACUGCUUGGUUUCGCUGUUUUUUUUUUCGUGUCCCUUUCUCGGACAGCCAAAAAAGGACCCUCGAAAGCAGACAAAGAGCAAGUGCUUUUCGAUCGAGGAAAAGAUAUGCAUAAGCAUAAUGCAAAUCGGGAUUGAUUUGCAAGUCAAAAGCAGGCACUUUUUCAAAAAACCCAGCACUAUACGUUAAAGAACUGGAGGCGUAAAUGGAAAUUUUUACAAAUAUUCUGUUUAUUUUGCAUUUAAAGGAUUUAUUCAUUUAGACAAUGUUCAAAAUCACAAAUUAACUUUCCCCACCAUCGAAACCAAUUUCUCUAAUCGCCAAAGAGCAGGCACCACUCUAAAUGUAAGACCAUUUAUCUGACAUGUCCAUCGCGUUGGUUUUUUAAUAAAAUCCCCGGCUGAAAUGAAAUAGUCUGGCAGAGAGCUUUUCAUUACACGCCAAACUUUUCACGAAAAUAUAUUAAAAAUAUAAAAAAUCCGCGACCUGUUAAAACUAUUCGCGGGAAAACCAAAAGGAAAGCAAAAUCCAAACGCGCGCAAAAUGGACGCCAUUUGCUGCAGAACAAAAAAGGAAACACAAGUCGAAAAAGUGCAAUAAGUGCUCAGGCAACAAAUUAACGCAACGCAAACGGAAAAUAUAAUAAGAAGCCCACAUAAUGGCGCAUAAAUCAAAUGGAUCUCGUUAUGUUUCAGGAAAAAGUGCUUCCAGCUGCCAAGGCGACUUCUUUAAAUAUUUUAAGUCCCAAAUGAACGGAAAAGGUGAAGGAAGGGGAAUACUUCCAAGUUUAAUUUCACAAAAAAGUAACACGUUUAAUGAGCAAUUAAAAUGAAUCUUCCUUUAUCUCA